Long non-coding RNA from Triplophysa dalaica, 1910 nucleotides. RefSeq lists it as uncharacterized. The transcript has 3 exons. The record is from RefSeq and is a predicted model, not a curated record. Lineage: Eukaryota; Metazoa; Chordata; Actinopteri; Cypriniformes; Nemacheilidae.
CUCACCAAAGAAGUACUGCUGCUCCCAGGGAACCUAUAGCAAGAUCCACCAGACCAUCUCCAUUCAUAUCCAUCUUCCCAUGGAUACUACGGCCAAAGAACUGCAGUCCAGGAGCCAGCUGAACUGCUCCAAUCCUCUAACAAAGACAGAUUCAUGAAAAAUUUUAAAUCUUAAACCGCACACAAUCAUCUUAAAAGGAUAGUUCACUUCACUCAAAAUGAAAAUUCAUAAUUUUCACCAUUUUCACCAAUUCAUCGUAUACUCACCUGGAAUGUCAUUCCAAACCUGUAUGACUUUCUUUUUACCGCAAAAGACAAAAGAAGAUGUAACCCGUAUAGAACACUAGUACUAGGAGGAAUGGGGUUAAAUCAUUUAUUUUUCAGUUUUUUUGGUUUGUUUAUUAUAUGUAUAAGCAUUUUGUGUUUCUUGUCUCUAAUUCCGAGAUAAUGUUAAAUUUAAAACGUUUACGUUCAUACGCACAAUGUCCCCUACGUCUUUCUACGUAAGGUUUGGUUGAUUUACACAUGUAAAACACGUGUGUGUGCAAUCUAGUGUGCUGUGUGUAAUGUCAUUGGAUGCUUAAUAGCUUAAAACCCGCCUCCAAGGUGUGUUGUGUAAUGCUAUUGGUUAAGUGGAGGAAAAAAAAGGGAAAGUGAGAGAGGAGAGAGGAGAAGUCGUUCGCAGGUGAAUAACUUGCGAGUUUUUGUAAUCAAAACGCGAUUUUAUUUCAGUUUAAAUUUGAGUACGUUGUCUUUGACUUGGAAGCUAAAGUUAGCUCAAGACAUGGGUUAAAAUUUAGUAUCGAGGCGUGUUGGUGUGUUUUGUACAUGCGCCGACUUUUGAGAAGAGGUUUUUUUGCUGUGUCAUGUAGAACAGCAUUGGAUUUUUUUUUAAGCGUUUGUGUUCUCUCGUGUUUUGUUUCUCUUUGAGAGCUGGAGAGAGUAAAACGAGUUAUUUUAAAACCGUCGUGCGAGUUUCUAUCUUCGAGGGAGAGAGCUACGGAAAUAACCGGAUAGCGCACCCAGCCACCGGAAGCGUUGGGUGUUUCUCCGGCUACGAGGGACGAUCGGUGCUUUUCGGGAGGAUCCUAGCAGGCGAUUUAUACUGGCGCUUUGGAUUAAAGAGCCUAGGUACUGUGUUUCUACAUUUUAUCUGCUCACUUGAGCGAAGCGGCCAAUUUAAGUUUCACAGGCCUCUACGCACUCCAGCAACGACACGGGCCUGCAUCGGGGGGUUGUCAUUUCAGUGAUGGAUGUUAUAUAAACGGUGGAUUUAACGCUGAAUUUGGAGAUUGUUUGAAACUGAUAGAUGGUACCAGUGCUAAAAGAGGCCGGACAUGAAUUGCACGCGAAGACAGGCACAUGAAAUGAGUUGUUUUCUCAGCCUUCCUAGAGAGCAUCAGAUUACAGAAGAAGAGCAGACCAGGAACACAGACUAGAAGAACAAUGGCAAAAUGAGUUGUCUUUUCUUGAGGCCUUCAAACCAUCAUCUACCCUUCUAUAUCCACUUUGUUUUGUCUUCAGCUAGAGAUAUAGAUGCUUAUAGAUGCAACUAGAGAUACAGAGACUACUGUAGACAUAUAAUACAGCAUAUAAUAUAGCAUCCUUUUUAAGACAGCCAGGAACUGGUCCUUAAGUGCUAAAUGAAUAAAGAUGGACGUCUGCUUUAUACACAGCCUUGCUCUCGCAUGUGCUCCAGCUUUUUCCAUUUAUUAGAGCAGCUAUCUUGCCGAGCUUCACGUAAUUACAUUUCACUGGGGGAAAUAUUUUUCCUCUGAGUUCACUGCUCUGCUCUUGCAGGUGGUAAAAGUCUGUCAGAAUUCAUGCAGGGCCAUUAUCAAAGAAGUACAUUAAUGUAAACCCGUGUACCUUAGCCUUGAGAUAACAGAAAACAGCUGUAGGAGUCAUUUA